CCGGUGAAAUGCGUAGAUAUUAGGAAGAACACCAGUGGCGAAGGCGGUUCUCUGGACGGUAACUGACGUUGAGGCUCGAAAGCGUGGGUAGCAAACAGGAUUAGAUACCCUGGUAGUCCACGCCGUAAACGAUGAAUGCUAGGUGUCGGGAAGCACAGCUUUUCGGUGCCGCCGCAAACGCAUUAAGCAUUCCACCUGGGGAGUACGUUCGCAAGAAUAAAACUCAAAGGAAUUGACGGGGACCCGCACAAGCGGCGGAGCAUGUGGUUUAAUUCG
Molecule: ribosomal RNA, 276 nt
Filed under: Roseburia inulinivorans
Lineage: Bacteria; Bacillati; Bacillota; Clostridia; Lachnospirales; Lachnospiraceae
Also listed under: 2 other names
Description: partial 16S ribosomal RNA
Rfam family: Bacterial small subunit ribosomal RNA
Source: RNAcentral